UUUGAUCAUGGCUCAAAACGUACGCUGGCGGCACGCCUACCACUUGCAAGUCGAACGCAGUAGCAAUACUGAGUGGCAAACGGGUGAGUAACAUGUGGGAAUCUGCCUUGUGGUUCAGGACAACAUUGGGAAACCGAUGCUAAUACUGGAUAAGCCCUUACGGGGAAAGUUUUAAUGCCAUAAAAUGAGCCCGCAUUUGAUUAGUUAGUUGGUGAGGUAAUGGCUCACCAAGACAAUGAUCAAUAGCUGAUCUGAGAGGAUGAUCAGCCACACUGGGACUGAGACACGGCCCAAACUCCUACGGGAGGCAGCAGUGGGGAAUCUUGCACAAUGGAGGAAACUCUGAUGCAGCGAUGCCGCGUGAGUGAAGAAGGCCUUUGGGUUGUAAAGCUCUUUUGUAGGGGAAGAUAAUGACUGUACCCUAAGAAUAAGGUCCGGCUAACUUCGUG
This 449-nucleotide ribosomal RNA is filed under the name uncultured bacterium. RNAcentral describes it as "bacterial SSU rRNA". It matches the Rfam family "Bacterial small subunit ribosomal RNA", at positions 12 to 507 of the family's 1533-position model. The record is from RNAcentral.